UGACCUCGGAUCAGGCAGGGAUACCCGCUGAACUUAAGC
Molecule: ribosomal RNA, 39 nt
Filed under: uncultured Dothideomycetes
Lineage: Eukaryota; Fungi; Ascomycota; Dothideomycetes
Description: partial 25S ribosomal RNA
Source: RNAcentral